RNAcentral lists this ribosomal RNA (497 nucleotides) under uncultured bacterium. RNAcentral's name for it is "partial 16S ribosomal RNA". It matches the Rfam family "Bacterial small subunit ribosomal RNA", at positions 28 to 507 of the family's 1533-position model. The record is from RNAcentral.
GACGAACGCUGGCGGCGUGCCUAAUACAUGCAAGUUGAGCGCUGAAGGUUGGUACUUGUACCAACUGGAUGAGCAGCGAACGGGUGAGUAACGCGUGGGGAAUCUGCCUUUGAGCGGGGGACAACAUUUGGAAACGAAUGCUAAUACCGCAUAAAAACUUUAAACACAAGUUUUAAGUUUGAAAGAUGCAAUUGCAUCGCUCAAAGAUGAUCCCGCGUUGUAUUAGCUAGUUGGUGAGGUAAAGGCUCACCAAGGCGAUGAUACAUAGCCGACCUGAGAGGGUGAUCGGCCACAUUGGGACUGAGACACGGCCCAAACUCCUACGGGAGGCAGCAGUAGGGAAUCCUCGGCAAUAGACGAAAGUCUGACCGAGCAACGCCGCGUGAGUGAAGAAGGUUUUCGGAUCGUAAAACUCUGUUGGUAGAGAAGAACGUUGGUGAGAGUGGAAAGCUCAUCAAGUGACGGUAACUACCCAGAAAGGGACGGCUAACUACGUG